This 506-nucleotide ribosomal RNA is filed under the name uncultured organism. Its description in RNAcentral is "partial 18S ribosomal RNA". The record is from RNAcentral.
UCGUCGGCGCCAUUAAGGUCGAGGUUAUCGCAUAUAAUUUCAACAACGUCAAUUUUUCGAGCAUCAACUUGGAACCCGGCCCGACUAGACAGGAGGAUUAGCUCGCGUGCCUAAGCCAGCCCGGAAAGGAAGACCCCUCGGGCUACGGGAAGUGACCCGCAGCACCCCUUGGUCCUGAAAAUGGAACUUUUUUAAUCUCACAAGUUUCGUCCGGAAACGAGCUUAUGUAAUCGUACCUUAUUAUCUUAUCCUGUCUCCAAGAUAAAACAACCAAAGAUCCUGGCGACAUUACUAAUUAUCCCUGUCAGCCCCCGUAGUCAUAAGUUAACAGUCUCCACUUUAAGAACCUAAAUAACUUCUGAUUGAAGACGCUUUCGUAAACGGUUCCUACAAAAGUAAUUAGUUCUUGCUUUCAAUCCCCUAGCUUCUGCUAGUCUAUGGCAGCAUCAGAAUUGGUAUUUGAUACGGCUGAUCCCUAGCCUACUACAAUUAAAAAAUUACUGAGU